UGUAUCCUUUGUCUGAUCGAGACUAGGUUGUCUGCGCCGCAGUCCUUCUUCGGCAUCACUGCUUGGAGCAGCAGGCGCCACCAGCCUACCAUCUUAUGCCGUUAAACCCCAGAACUCAUGCUCUUUUCUCUGCAGGUGCAGAAGCUCAAAUGGCGAUUUGCUUCCAAUCCCCCUCAAAACCCACUUGCAUUUCUCCCUCAUCAAACCAUUACAGACCCAAUCUUCAUGCUCGGUCCUUCAGAUGCAACUUCUCUAAAACACUAACUGCUGAUCCUCAACCAGUUUUCACCUCUGUGAAGUCCUUCGCACCCGCAACCGUUGCUAACCUCGGUCCCGGUUUCGAUUUCCUCGGUGCUGCUGUUGAUGGUAUCGGCGAUUUCGUCUCCCUUCGCGUGGAUCCUGAUGUUCGGCCCGGGGAGAUUUCGAUUGUCGAUAUCGAUGGUGUUGGGAAUAGCGCCACGAAGCUCAGUAAAAAUCCCCUCUGGAACUGCGCCGGCAUUGCCGCUAUCUCCGUCAUGAAAAUGCUCGGAGUCCGAUCGGUGGGGCUGUCCCUUUCCCUCGAGAAGGGGUUGCCAUUGGGAAGUGGACUUGGGUCGAGCGCCGCCAGUGCCGCCGCGGCUGCUGUGGCGGUGAAUGAGAUUUUUGGGCGGAAAUUGGGAGUUGAUGACCUUGUCCUUGCUGGGCUUGACUCGGAAGCUAAAGUUUCGGGUUAUCACGCGGACAAUGUGGCGCCGGCUCUUAUGGGAGGAUUCGUGUUGAUUCGGAGUUAUGAUCCUUUGGAGUUGAUUCCUUUGACGUUUCCGAGCGACAAGGAGUUGUUUUUUGUGUUGGUGAAUCCGGAAUUUGAAGCUCCCACCAAGAAAAUGCGGGCGGCAUUGCCGUCGGAGAUCGGGAUGUCUGAUCACGUGUGGAAUUGUAGCCAGGCCGCUGCAUUGGUAGCCUCGAUUUUGCAAGGAGAUUUGAGGGGGUUGGGCAAGGCAUUGUCCUCCGACAGAAUUGUGGAGCCAAGGAGGGCACCCUUGAUCCCUGGGAUGGAAGGGGUGAAAAAGGCUGCUCUUGAGGCUGGUGCAUUUGGCUGUACAAUUAGUGGAGCAGGGCCGACUGCAGUUGCAAUUACAGAUGACGAAGAGAAGGGAAGGGAUAUUGGAGAACGGAUGGUAGAAGCUUUCUUGGAGGACGGGAAGUUGAAGGCUGUAGCAAUGGUGAAGCAACUCGAUAGGGUUGGUGCUAGGCUUAUGAGUAGCAACCUCAGAUGAAAAAAAAUUAGGGUUUUCACAACAAGCUCCUUGAGACAGUUCCUUGGCAGUAUGUUCAGCAUGUCAGAGCAUCAAACCCAAAAUGAAGAGGGGAUGAAGAUAUAUACAUUUGAUGCCACUGGUGGUGAUUCUGAUGACAACUUUCAUAAUUCAAUGAUCUUGCAUCAUACUGCAAGCUUAGAUAAGAACUUGGUCCACCUCCUUCCCAUGGCAGCAUUUGAAGCAUGGGCCAUGACAGUCUUAUGCAAGGGAAUGGUGGAAAGCAAGUCACUAGUAGUAGUGGUGGCAGUUGGAAGCUGGCAUGGAAAUUGCAGGGAGGUGUUGAAAGAAUUUAUUAGCCGCAAGUAGGUGUUUCUAGAUCUUGGUGUACAUCUUUAGUUUCUGCUCCUAGUGGUGAGGUCCCUGCAGCCCUGCUCUUUACUCCAGGGAACUUAUUCAUCAGCAUCCAGUUGGGCCGACUUUGGUUCAUUCAUCUGAAAGUUCUGAAAAGUGCCAACUUGGAGUUAUCUUUUUGAACCAGGUAUCAAUCAUGAAGUGGUUGUUGGGCUGGGGAUUCAGAUACUUAAACAGUUCUCUGUCAUAAAUAGGGUUCUCUAGGUGGGUGUUGGAGUACUUGUUUACAUGGGCUUUAGUCAGCUUCUGCAUCUUUGCUCAUGAGUCCCAUGACAACCUUGUUGACGUGCCCUUUUAUAGCUGUUGCCAUGAGGCUGAUGGACAUUUCUAGCUGAAGGAGUCUGCUACUCAGCACAAUCUGGGUCUUGUUAAUAUCCCUCAUCAUUCUAGUCCUUGGAAGUGUUGUGAAUAUGUGCACUGUUCUGCAAGCGGGAAUUUCUGCUUCUUUGUCAUGGGAAUUAUGUCAGACAUACUCUUUUCAAUGAUCUCCACCACCUGGGUUUGAGGCCCCUGCAUACCUAUUUGUGCCCUUACAUUUUUGGUGAGUAACUUCAUUUGUACCUGGACACUACUAGUGUUGCUCACAUCCAUUUCCCCCUUGUUGGUGUCUCUAUGAAAUUCUUUGAAAUGAGUUAAUUGUACAGAAUGUUUAAAUUUAUUGAAUGAUGACUAUAUGUAGAAAUUAGCUUCUUUUGAAGGACUUGA
Vitis riparia (riverbank grape) is the source of this 2354-nucleotide RNA transcript. It is a transcript of the gene named homoserine kinase, with no coding region annotated. The record is from RefSeq and is a predicted model, not a curated record. The transcript has 4 exons. Lineage: Eukaryota; Viridiplantae; Streptophyta; Magnoliopsida; Vitales; Vitaceae.